AAAAAGAUAGAAAGAAACAGAGAGAAAGAGAGAGAGAGAGAAAGAGAGAGCGUCUGUGUGUUUGUUUGCAUCAAUGCAGUUCGUUUCUCUACGCAUUUGCUUUCUGUG
This 108-nucleotide non-coding RNA is filed under the name Geminigera cryophila. Lineage: Eukaryota; Cryptophyceae; Pyrenomonadales; Geminigeraceae. The record is from RNAcentral.